AACUGAUACUACCUGCGGGAACCUGCGGAAGGAUCAUUACCGAGUUUACAACUCCCAAACCCAUGUGAACAUACCUAUCGUUGCUUCGGCGGGAUCGCCCCGGGCGCCUUGCGUGCCCCGGAUCCAGGCACCCGCCGGGGGACCUUAACUCUUGUUUUAUUUAGAAUCUUCUGAGUAGUUUUUACAAAUAAAUAAAAACUUUCAGCAACGGAUCUCU
This 217-nucleotide unclassified non-coding RNA is filed under the name soil metagenome. RNAcentral describes it as "partial contains 5.8S ribosomal RNA, internal transcribed spacer 2, and large subunit ribosomal RNA". The record is from RNAcentral.